ACGUCCCUGCCCUUUGUACACACC
Molecule: non-coding RNA, 24 nt
Filed under: Arabidopsis thaliana (thale cress)
Lineage: Eukaryota; Viridiplantae; Streptophyta; Magnoliopsida; Brassicales; Brassicaceae
Also listed under: 5 other names
Source: RNAcentral